Hibiscus syriacus is the source of this 175-nucleotide long non-coding RNA. RefSeq lists it as uncharacterized. The record is from RefSeq and is a predicted model, not a curated record. Lineage: Eukaryota; Viridiplantae; Streptophyta; Magnoliopsida; Malvales; Malvaceae. The transcript has 3 exons.
AAAUUAUCAGAGAAAAGAUAUUCAUGCAGUAUCGGAACGAGGUUCCUUAUGCAUGCCAGGUAAAUAUGGUGAACUACAAAACAAGGCCAAAUGCAAAAGAUUUCAUACAAGUAGAAAUUGUUGUUGAGAAAGACUCCCAGAAAAUCAUCCUCAUUGGAAAAGGAGGGAAAGCUCU